UAUCGCUCCUCGACGAAAGUAUCAUAGAAUAACUUCUCCAUAUGCAUUAACCAUUUCUCGACCACCCAAUGAUCAGCUUUCUCCCCGUCAAAGACACGAGAUUUGCAAUGACGAAACUCAUUCAACCUUUCCAUCAUCCGCUCUCGCUCCUCAACCGCCACCAUCUCUGGUAACAUAGUCCUUGUCGCAGCCACAUGCACUG
This 202-nucleotide long non-coding RNA is filed under the name Ananas comosus (pineapple). Its description in RNAcentral is "long non-coding RNA (ACOM_LNC005476)". The record is from RNAcentral. Lineage: Eukaryota; Viridiplantae; Streptophyta; Magnoliopsida; Poales; Bromeliaceae.